CCAGACUCCUACGGGAGGCAGCAGUGGGGGAUAUUGCACAAUGGGGGAAACCCUGAUGCAGCGACGCCGCGUGAGUGAAGACGGCCUUCGGGUUGUAAAGCUCUGUCAAUCGGGACGAAGAAGAUGACGGUACCGAUGAAGGAAGCUCCGGCUAACUACGUGCCAGCAGCCGCGGUAAUACGUAGGGGGCAAGCGUUAUCCGGAUUUACUGGGUGUAAAGGGAGCGUAGACGGCAAUGCAAGUCUGGAGUGAAAGGCGGGGGCCCAACCCCCGGACUGCUCUGGAAACUGUAUAGCUGGAGUGCAGGAGAGGUAAGUGGAAUUCCUAGUGUAGCGGUGAAAUGCGUAGAUAUUAGGAGGAACACCAGUGGCGAAGGCGGCUUACUGGACUGUAACUGACGUUGAGGCUCGAAAGCGUGGGGAGCAAACAGGAUUAGAUACCCCGGUAA
Molecule: ribosomal RNA, 448 nt
Filed under: uncultured bacterium
Lineage: Bacteria
Description: bacterial SSU rRNA
Rfam family: Bacterial small subunit ribosomal RNA
Source: RNAcentral